RNAcentral lists this ribosomal RNA (447 nucleotides) under uncultured bacterium. RNAcentral's name for it is "bacterial SSU rRNA". It matches the Rfam family "Bacterial small subunit ribosomal RNA", at positions 355 to 825 of the family's 1533-position model. The record is from RNAcentral.
UGGGGAAUCUUGCGCAAUGGGCGAAAGCCUGACGCAGCCAUGCCGCGUGAAUGAUGAAGGUCUUAGGAUUGUAAAAUUCUUUCACCGGGGACGAUAAUGACGGUACCCGGAGAAGAAGCCCCGGCUAACUUCGUGCCAGCAGCCGCGGUAAUACGAAGGGGGCUAGCGUUGCUCGGAAUUACUGGGCGUAAAGGGCGCGUAGGCGGAUCGUUAAGUCAGAGGUGAAAUCCCAGGGCUCAACCCUGGAACUGCCUUUGAUACUGGCGAUCUUGAGUAUGAGAGAGGUAUGUGGAACUCCGAGUGUAGAGGUGAAAUUCGUAGAUAUUCGGAAGAACACCAGUGGCGAAGGCGACAUACUGGCUCAUUACUGACGCUGAGGCGCGAAAGCCAGGGGAGCAAACGGGAUUAGAUACCCUCGUAGUCCCUGAGCGGGCUGGCAAGGCGCAU